GACGAACGCUGGCGGCGUGCUUAACACAUGCAAGUCGAGCGGUAAGGCCCUUUCGGGGGUACGACGAGCGGCGAACGGGUGAGUAACACGUGGGUGACCUGCCCUUAGCUCUGGGAUAAGCCUGGGAAACUGGGUCUAAUACCGGAUAUGACUCCAUGACGCAUGUUGUGGGGUGGAAAGCCUUGUGCGGCUAGGGAUGGGCCCGCGGCCUAUCAGCUUGUUGGUGGGGUGAUGGCCUACCAAGGCGACGACGGGUAGCCGGCCUGAGAGGGCGACCGGCCACACUGGGGCUGAGACACGGCCCAGACUCCUACGGGAGGCAGCAGUGGGGAAUCUUGCGCAAUGGGCGAAAGCCUGACGCAGCGACGCCGCGUGGGGA
Molecule: ribosomal RNA, 379 nt
Filed under: uncultured bacterium
Lineage: Bacteria
Description: bacterial SSU rRNA
Rfam family: Bacterial small subunit ribosomal RNA
Source: RNAcentral